UUGGUACACACAUUUAUUCAACAGAUAGUUCAAAAAGUCGUGCUACUCUCUAAGAAGAGGACGGGUAACACACAAACAGGUUGUAGAUGCAACCUAUGAACAUGCAAGUCCAUAAGCAGCAAGCAGCACUGCACGAUAGCGGUAGCAUCCUUAACAGCCCAACACCAUAGGCAAGUUGGGUGCGUAGGCGACCUCCUACUCGAACUUCACCAGGACGUAGUCCGGAUCUUCUUCUGUAUCAACAAAGUAAGGAUGAGUACAUACAUACUCAGCAAAUCCAACCCCACCCUACGGAAAGGGAUAAUGAAUACAUGCAUAGGGGUAAUCCAAGGAAUAGACCAAGGUUUAUUUUGCAGAAAGCAAUCUUUUAUACACAUGCAAGGUGUGAUUUUAUAAAACGAUUUUUGCAAAACACAUAUAUACCACAUUUAUAAUAGUUAUGAAAGAGACGGGUGAUCAUACACAAAGGAUCUAAGUUUUAAUUACUACUAGACACCCCGUUCAUGGUAGCACACGGCACACUUGUCGGAUAUUUUAAAAGUCUAAUUUUUCACCAAAAGGUUUCCCCAUCUUUCCCAAAUAGCUAGUUAUGUAACCAAGCCAUAACUCGUCCAAGACCGUGGACAUGGAUAUUCGAAUAGGUUUUAACUCUGCAGAGGUGUACACUUUACCCACAAGUAGGGUACCGUAACACAAACACCGUAGUGCCGGUGCGGAUCCAUCAAAGUCAUUACCCACCAUUGCACACUCCUGACUAGUCAUCCAUGAGAGCUAACCAAGAGGUUCCUAACCUUCCUACAAGGUCUUCAACCGGGCUACUAAUCCAAUACUUACUUACGCCUCUUCCUUAGCCUCCCAUUGCACACCUGCCUACGGACGACUAUCAGACUAGCUAGUGGGAUUUAAGCUAAGCUUUUGCCACACACAAAGAUUGAGUGGUUGUACAAUAAGUUGGGUUAGGCAAGAUGACACAUGAAUUCGAUCCUUAAUUAAGACAAGAUAGAUAUCUCUCAUACUUAACCACAUAGGCACGAGCCAAUACUCCAAGGCAUCCUACACAAGGAACCCUGAUCCGCCCCAUUUAAAUAAUCACCAACACCAGUUGUUUAUUAUCUCUUUUCCAAAAUCCCAACUCAUACUCACCCCAACAUACUCAACACAUUUUAUCUUUGUAAAACCAUUGCAUUUGUAAAACAAGCAACAAUGAUGUUGAGUAACCGGUUUCUAAGUGUAUUAAUUUCAAGGUAAUCGACUAACAGAGCGUAUUAUGCCCAGUGAUAAAUCCUAUGUCGUCAAGGUAUAAUCAAGAUAUAUCAACUCAAAGAGUGGCUAUCCAAUCGGGUUAUAACUAGAUCAAGUAGUAAAAUAAUCUGAGCAUAUAUAUAAUUGGAUGCAAUUUAUGAAAAAAAGAGGCUUCGACAUGUUGUGUUUGAAAACUGGAAUAAAUAUGACCAAAAGCGAAUAGGUUGGACUUGCCAUCUUCAAAGCCUUCCGAAAGCUCCUGCUCGUGGUACGGGUCUUCCGGCUCCGACUCGUGGUCCUGGCCUUCGUACUCUGGCUCGCGGUACUGGCCUCCAAACUGGUUUUCCUCCUCGAUCACUUCAUCGGCUACGGUGAUGACGGUGCAAAAGACAAAUAAACACAAGCAAGUAUAAACACAAAAUAAAAUGAGCUUAAACGGAGAGGAGAAUAGCUGGAUUAGAUAGAAUUUGAUUUUAGAGGAAUUUAGGAAAAGAAUCAAGUGAAUCAGAGUUUUGAUGUGUGAGAUAUGGCUGUGUAAAGAUUAGCUACUAAUUAAAUUACGAAAAUAGUUUAACAUAAUUGGACGGAAGCUUCACGGAUUAAACGAACGGAGGCUUCACGGGUUAAACAAGUACGUGCGGCUUUUUGCAUUUCGGGCUGUCUUUUGGAUUGGGCUGGCAAUACAUGGGCACCAAAGCCUGCUGGCUAGAUAAGGCUGCUCUAGGAUAAAAGAGUAGAGGGCCCCUGGCAGCACUGCCAUGAGCAGCGGCAGGAGCUCCACCGGAACAGCAGUCCCGGUCACCAUUUUCGAAUCCAAGGGUAUGGAUAGAGAGAGGAGUGGAUGGGGAUUCGAUUCUGGAGGUUCUUGGCCGAGGUGAGAGGGUGGAAGGAGGUCGGCCACAGGGGGCCAUGGAAGCGGUCCUGGAGUCCUUGGGGAGCUCGGUGUAGGCAAGGAUAUGGAGGGCCAUUGCUUGGGGAAGGUAGAGGAGGGUGUGGAGGUGCUCACCGAUGAACUAAUCGAGCUGUGGUGGCUUAUCGUCGGAGAUCGACGAGGGAGAGCGCAAGAAUAGAGGAGGGAGAAAUUUGAGUGAGGAGGGAGGUGAGCGGCGGAGCUGGGCGGCUCGGCGAGCUCGGGAAGGCGACGGAGAGCAGCUCGGGGUGGCUUUUAUAGGCGGCGAGGGCGGAGCUGUGCCAGCGGCUCACCUGCUCGCCAUGAAUGGCGACGCGUGUCUGGACGGCAGCUUGCAAGCAUCGGCUUGCUGCGGCGGUGACGCUGAGUCGACGCGGUUUUGACGGUGCGCGCGACGAGGCGGCAGCGUGGUUGAGGUGGGGACACGGCAAGGGGUGGCACGGCGUGGUGCCGGGCGGUAGGGCGUGGUCACCUCGCGGGGGCGGGUUGUCGCUCAAGCAGAACAGGGGGAGCACGGCAAGGGGGCCUAGCGUGUGGAGCUUUUGCACAUUGUACCAGUGUGAGCUGCUGUUGUGUGCUUUCGUGCGUGUUCUAGCUUGUGCAUGUUGAAGGACAUAGGAAGGGGACGACAAGCUUUCUCAAAGGACCAUACGUGAAGUAAAGGAUCAGCAGGUUGGCAGCUUCGGGAGAAUAGGAAGGUUAGAGAGAAAGUUAAAUGCCUGAAUUGAUUUGAAAAGGCAAAAGGAUUAAAG
This 2904-nucleotide long non-coding RNA is filed under the name Setaria italica (foxtail millet). RNAcentral describes it as "long non-coding RNA (SITA_LNC002821)". The record is from RNAcentral. Lineage: Eukaryota; Viridiplantae; Streptophyta; Magnoliopsida; Poales; Poaceae.